RNAcentral lists this ribosomal RNA (74 nucleotides) under uncultured Corynebacterium sp. RNAcentral's name for it is "partial 16S ribosomal RNA". The record is from RNAcentral. Lineage: Bacteria; Bacillati; Actinomycetota; Actinomycetes; Mycobacteriales; Corynebacteriaceae.
UGGGCUUGACAUACACCAGAUCGCCGUAGAGAUACGGUUUCCCUUUGUGGUUGGUGUACAGGUGGUGCAUGGUU